AUUGAACGCUGGCGGCAGGCCUAACACAUGCGAGUCGAGCGGAUGAAGGGAGCUUGCUCCUGGAUUCAGCGGCGGACGGGUGAGUAAUGCCUAGGAAUCUGCCUGGUAGUGGGGGAUAACGUCCGGAAACGGGCGCUAAUACCGCAUACGUCCUGAGGGAGAAAGUGGGGGAUCUUCGGACCUCACGCUAUCAGAUGAGCCUAGGUCAGAUUAGCUAGUUGGUGGGGUAAAGGCCUACCAAGGCGACGAUCCGUAACUGGUCUGAGAGGAUGAUCAGUCACUCGGGAACUGAAAAACGGCCCAGACCCCUACGGGGGGCAGCAGGGGGGAAUUUUGGCAAAUGGGCAAAAGCCUGAUCCACCCAUGCCGCGGGUGGGAAGAAGGUCUUCGGAUUGUAAAGCCCUUUAAGUUGGGAGGAAGGCAAGUAAGUUAAUACCUUGCUGUUUUAACUUUACCAACAGAAUAAGCCCCGGCAAACUUCGG
Molecule: ribosomal RNA, 483 nt
Filed under: uncultured bacterium
Lineage: Bacteria
Description: partial 16S ribosomal RNA
Rfam family: Bacterial small subunit ribosomal RNA
Source: RNAcentral